This 372-nucleotide ribosomal RNA is filed under the name uncultured organism. Its description in RNAcentral is "bacterial SSU rRNA". It matches the Rfam family "Bacterial small subunit ribosomal RNA", at positions 526 to 896 of the family's 1533-position model. The record is from RNAcentral.
CGUAGGGUGCGAGCGUUAAUCGGAAUUACUGGGCGUAAAACGUGCGCAGGCGGUUUUGUAAGACAGGCGUGAAAUCCCCGGGCUCAACCUGGGAACUGCGCUUGUGACUGCAAGGCUAGAGUACGGCAGAGGGGGGUGGAAUUCCACGUGUAGCAGUGAAAUGCGUAGAGAUGUGGAGGAACACCAAUGGCGAAGGCAGCCCCCUGGGUCGAUACUGACGCUCAUGCACGAAAGCGUGGGUAGCAAACAGGAUUAGAUACCCUGGUAGUCCACGCCCUAAACGAUGUCAACUAGGUGUUGGGUGGGUAAAACCAUUUAGUACCGGAGCUAACGCGUGAAGUUGACCGCCUGGGGAGUACGGCCGCAAGGUUA